RNAcentral lists this ribosomal RNA (456 nucleotides) under Chrysomelinae sp. BMNH#704396. RNAcentral's name for it is "partial 16S ribosomal RNA". The stretch from base 330 to 456 matches the Rfam family "Bacterial large subunit ribosomal RNA", at positions 2473 to 2600 of the family's 2925-position model. The record is from RNAcentral. Lineage: Eukaryota; Metazoa; Arthropoda; Insecta; Coleoptera; Chrysomelidae.
GGUAUUUUGACCGUGCUAAGGUAGCAUAAUCAUUAGUUUUUUAAUUGAAAGCUGGAAUGAAAGGUUGAAUAAGAAAAAAACUGUCUCUGUUUAAUAUUAUUAGAAUUUUAUUUUUAAGUUAAAAAGCUUAAAUAUUAUUAAAAGACGAGAAGACCCUUUAGAGUUUAAUUAUUUUAUUAAUAUAUUUAUUUAAGAAUUAAAUUAGGUGUUUAAUUAAAUAAUUUGACUUGGGGUGAUUGAAAAAUUAGAAUAACUUUUUUUAUAAAAAAACAAUAAUUAUUGAAUAAUUGAUCCAAAAAUAAUGAUUAUAAGAUAAACAUUACCUUAGGGAUAACAGCGUAAUUUUUUUGGGGAGUUCAUAUUAAUAAAAAAGAUUGCGACCUCGAUGUUGGAUUAAAAUUUAUUUUUGGUGUAGAAGCUAAAAUAUUGAGUCUGUUCGACUUUUAAAAUUUUACA